RNAcentral lists this ribosomal RNA (465 nucleotides) under uncultured bacterium. RNAcentral's name for it is "bacterial SSU rRNA". It matches the Rfam family "Bacterial small subunit ribosomal RNA", at positions 330 to 793 of the family's 1533-position model. The record is from RNAcentral.
UCCAGACUCCUACGGGAGGCAGCAGUGAGGAAUAUUGGUCAAUGGGCGGGAGACUGAACCAGCCAAGCCGCGUGAGGGAUGAAGGUACAGAGUAUCGUAAACCUCUUUUGUCAGGGAACAAAGGCGGGGACGUGUCCCCGGAUGAGCGUACCUGAAGAAAAAGCCUCGGCCAACUCCGUGCCAGCAGCCGCCGUAAUACGGAGGAUGCGAGCGUUAUCCGGAUUUAUUGGGUUUAAAGGGUGCGUAGGCGGGCCGUUAAGUCAGCGGUAAAAUCGGGGGGCUCAACCCCGUCGUGCCGUUGAAACUGGCAGUCUUGAGUUGGCGAGAAGUACGCGGAAUGCGCGGUGUAGCGGUGAAAUGCAUAGAUAUCACGCAGAACUCCGAUUGCGAAGGCAGCGUACCGGCGCCCAACUGACGCUCAUGCACGAAAGCGUGGGUAUCGAACAGGAUUAGAUACCCUCGUAA